RNAcentral lists this long non-coding RNA (502 nucleotides) under Brassica rapa (field mustard). Its description in RNAcentral is "long non-coding RNA (BRAP_LNC006579)". The record is from RNAcentral. Lineage: Eukaryota; Viridiplantae; Streptophyta; Magnoliopsida; Brassicales; Brassicaceae.
CAUCUGUUUUUAUGAGUUUGACGUAAGAGACGAACAAAAGGUUUUCGAUUCGUGAGUUUUCGCCUACACGAAAGUUAUGUUGGUUCUUUGUGUGUGUCAAGUUUUUUUUUUUUUUUUGUGUUUUCCACUUGACCAUUUUGUUAGGAUUUGGCGCAAUCGAAUGUAUAUUAAUAAGUUUUGAAUGCAUAUUAUAAUAUUCAUUUGAAAAUAAUAAUUUUAUUAAAACAUAUAUAUAUAUAUCAUUAUUAUAUGCACUAUUUCGUAAAAAAAAAUCAGCAUAUAAAUAAAACUAAAUAUAAAAGAUGAGAAGAAGAGGAAAAAGAGAGAAAACAUUAUUUAUUGAAAAAUCAGAGGUUCAUUUAACUCCGGUAUUCAAUGUUUAAUUACAUUAAUUAUGUACAUUUUUUUAUUAAAAUUUAUAUUAAAAUAUCUAUUUACUAAUACAUUAUUGAAAUCGAGACGAAAAUAUUUAUUACCUGAUUUAAUUUUUUUUAAAUUAUUC